Molecule: long non-coding RNA, 769 nt
Filed under: Pan troglodytes (chimpanzee)
Lineage: Eukaryota; Metazoa; Chordata; Mammalia; Primates; Hominidae
Description: lncRNA (ENSPTRG00000053572.1)
Source: RNAcentral
CUCAUGCCUGUAAUCCCAGCACUUUGGGAGGCCAAGGCGGGCGGAUCGCCUAAGGUCAGGAGUUUGAGACCAGCCUGGCCAACAUGGUGAAACCCCAUCUCUACUAAAAAUACAAGAAUUAGCCGGGCGUCGUGGUGUGUGCCUGUAAUCCCAGCUACCCAGCAUGCUGAAGCAGGAGAAUUGCGGGAACCCAGGAGGCAGAGGCUGCAGUGAGCUGAGAUCGCACCACUGCACUCCAGCCUGGGUGACAGAACAAGACUCCAUCUCAAUAAAAACAACAACAACAACAAAAAACCCACCACCACCAACAGCAACCAAAAAAAAACAACUCUUUGCAGCUGAAAUCAAGACAUGACUGAGGAGAACUCAAAAAACCUAGACUUGAGAACCAUUGGACUAGAUGAUCUGAAGCUAUCUCCGUCUCCAAAUGGGAGUUCAAGCAUGACGGACAGGUCUUGUUUCAAGAUCUCCAGAUCUCUCUCUGCUUAUCAAGGUCAGUGCCCUUUUGCUGACACACAAGCUCCUGAACUUCCCUUCCUCAGACUACACCUCCCUGAAUUACAACUCCUUCUGUAGGUUGUCUUGGAUAAAGUUCUCAUUUCAACAAGCAACCUAAGAGCAAAAAAUAUUAUCAAUGAUCUCCAAGGGGCCACAGAUUUUACGGCUAAGAGGCACUUGAUAUCAUCUAGCUCUGUGAGUCCCAAGUCUGGGGAUUUUAUGGUCCAGUAAGUUAAAAAAACAAACAACUUUGGGGUAAUUAUAAGGUUGC